GACGAACGCUGGCGGCGUGCUUAACACAUGCAAGUCGAACGGUGAAGCGCCUUCCUUUUUGGUGGGUGUGGAUGAGUGGCGAACGGGUGAGUAACACGUGAGUAACCUGCCCCCUUCUUCUGGAUAACCGCAUGAAAGUGUGGCUAAUACGGGAUAUUCUGGGUCUGUCGCAUGAUGGGUCUGGGAAAGAUAUUGUUUCGGUGGGGGAUGGGCUCGCGGCCUAUCAGCUUGUUGGUGGGGUGAUGGCCUACCAAGGCGGUGACGGGUAGCCGGCCUGAGAGGGUGGACGGUCACACUGGGACUGAGACACGGCCCAGACCCCUACGGGAGGCAGCAGGGGGGAAUAUUGCACAAUGGGCGCAAGCCUGAUGCAGCGACGCCGCGUGAGGGAUGGAGGCCUUCGGGUUGUGAACCUCUUUCGCCCGUGAAGCAGGCCUGCCUCGUUUGUGGGUGGGUUGACGGUAGCUGGAUAAGAAGCGCCGGCUAACUACGUG
RNAcentral lists this ribosomal RNA (494 nucleotides) under uncultured bacterium. RNAcentral's name for it is "partial 16S ribosomal RNA". It matches the Rfam family "Bacterial small subunit ribosomal RNA", at positions 28 to 507 of the family's 1533-position model. The record is from RNAcentral.